AUUAGGUGUAAACUAUAUUGAACCGAUGACGCCUCUUAGGGGUUUGGACGUUGUGUCCAAUUAGUUUACACAAAAUUUAAAAAUUUAACACAUAUAAGAAAAAACUUUAAAGUUUAAAAACCUUAUAGUUUUAAUAGUAUUAAUAC
This 146-nucleotide small RNA is filed under the name Arabidopsis thaliana (thale cress). RNAcentral describes it as "ATSL003220". Lineage: Eukaryota; Viridiplantae; Streptophyta; Magnoliopsida; Brassicales; Brassicaceae. The record is from RNAcentral.